GGGUUGUGAGGUUAAGCGACUAAGCGUACACGGUGGAUGCCCUGGCAGUCAGAGGCGAUGAAGGACGUGCUAAUCUGCGAUAAGCGUCGGUAAGGUGAUAUGAACCGUUAUAACCGGCGAUUUCCGAAUGGGGAAACCCAGUGUGAUUCGUCACACUAUCAUUAACUGAAUCCAUAGGUUAAUGAGGCGAACCGGGGGAACUGAAACAUCUAAGUACCCCGAGGAAAAGAAAUCAACCGAGAUUCCCCCAGUAGCGGCGAGCGAACGGGGAGCAGCCCAGAGCCUGAAUCAGUGUGUGUGUUAGUGGAAGCGUCUGGAAAGGCGCGCGAUACAGGGUGACAGCCCCGUACACAAAAAUGCACAUAUUGUGAGCUCGAUGAGUAGGGCGGGACACGUGGUAUCCUGUCUGAAUAUGGGGGGCCCAUCCUCCAAGGCUAAAUACUCCUGACUGACCGAUAGUGAACCAGUACCGUGAGGGAAAGGCGAAAAGAACCCCGGCGAGGGGAGUGAAAAAGAACCUGAAACCGUGUACGUACAAGCAGUGGGAGCACGCUUAGGCGUGUGACUGCGUACCUUUUGUAUAAUGGGUCAGCGACUUAUAUUCUGUAGCAAGGUUAACCGAAUAGGGGAGCCGAAGGGAAACCGAGUCUUAACUGGGCGUUAAGUUGCAGGGUAUAGACCCGAAACCCGGUGAUCUAGCCAUGGGCAGGUUGAAGGUUGGGUAACACUAACUGGAGGACCGAACCGACUAAUGUUGAAAAAUUAGCGGAUGACUUGUGGCUGGGGGUGAAAGGCCAAUCAAACCGGGAGAUAGCUGGUUCUCCCCGAAAGCUAUUUAGGUAGCGCCUCGUGAAUUCAUCUCCGGGGGUAGAGCACUGUUUCGGCAAGGGGGUCAUCCCGACUUACCAACCCGAUGCAAACUGCGAAUACCGGAGAAUGUUAUCACGGGAGACACACGGCGGGUGCUAACGUCCGUCGUGAAGAGGGAAACAACCCAGACCGCCAGCUAAGGUCCCAAAGUCAUGGUUAAGUGGGAAACGAUGUGGGAAGGCCCAGACAGCCAGGAUGUUGGCUUAGAAGCAGCCAUCAUUUAAAGAAAGCGUAAUAGCUCACUGGUCGAGUCGGCCUGCGCGGAAGAUGUAACGGGGCUAAACCAUGCACCGAAGCUGCGGCAGCGACGCUUAUGCGUUGUUGGGUAGGGGAGCGUUCUGUAAGCCUGCGAAGGUGUGCUGUGAGGCAUGCUGGAGGUAUCAGAAGUGCGAAUGCUGACAUAAGUAACGAUAAAGCGGGUGAAAAGCCCGCUCGCCGGAAGACCAAGGGUUCCUGUCCAACGUUAAUCGGGGCAGGGUGAGUCGACCCCUAAGGCGAGGCCGAAAGGCGUAGUCGAUGGGAAACAGGUUAAUAUUCCUGUACUUGGUGUUACUGCGAAGGGGGGACGGAGAAGGCUAUGUUGGCCGGGCGACGGUUGUCCCGGUUUAAGCGUGUAGGCUGGUUUUCCAGGCAAAUCCGGAAAAUCAAGGCUGAGGCGUGAUGACGAGGCACUACGGUGCUGAAGCAACAAAUGCCCUGCUUCCAGGAAAAGCCUCUAAGCAUCAGGUAACAUCAAAUCGUACCCCAAACCGACACAGGUGGUCAGGUAGAGAAUACCAAGGCGCUUGAGAGAACUCGGGUGAAGGAACUAGGCAAAAUGGUGCCGUAACUUCGGGAGAAGGCACGCUGAUAUGUAGGUGAAGUCCCUUGCGGAUGGAGCUGAAAUCAGUCGAAGAUACCAGCUGGCUGCAACUGUUUAUUAAAAACACAGCACUGUGCAAACACGAAAGUGGACGUAUACGGUGUGACGCCUGCCCGGUGCCGGAAGGUUAAUUGAUGGGGUCAGCGCAAGCGAAGCUCUUGAUCGAAGCCCCGGUAAACGGCGGCCGUAACUAUAACGGUCCUAAGGUAGCGAAAUUCCUUGUCGGGUAAGUUCCGACCUGCACGAAUGGCGUAAUGAUGGCCAGGCUGUCUCCACCCGAGACUCAGUGAAAUUGAACUCGCUGUGAAGAUGCAGUGUACCCGCGGCAAGACGGAAAGACCCCGUGAACCUUUACUAUAGCUUGACACUGAACAUUGAGCCUUGAUGUGUAGGAUAGGUGGGAGGCUUUGAAGUGUGGACGCCAGUCUGCAUGGAGCCGGCCUUGAAAUACCACCCUUUAAUGUUUGAUGUUCUAACGUGGACCCGUGAUCCGGGUUGCGGACAGUGUCUGGUGGGUAGUUUGACUGGGGCGGUCUCCUCCUAAAGAGUAACGGAGGAGCACGAAGGUUGGCUAAUCCCUGGUCGGACAUCAGGAGGUUAGUGCAAUGGCAUAAGCCAGCUUGACUGCGAGCGUGACGGCGCGAGCAGGUGCGAAAGCAGGUCAUAGUGAUCCGGUGGUUCUGAAUGGAAGGGCCAUCGCUCAACGGAUAAAAGGUACUCCGGGGAUAACAGGCUGAUACCGCCCAAGAGUUCAUAUCGACGGCGGUGUUUGGCACCUCGAUGUCGGCUCAUCACAUCCUGGGGCUGAAGUAGGUCCCAAGGGUAUGGCUGUUCGCCAUUUAAAGUGGUACGCGAGCUGGGUUUAGAACGUCGUGAGACAGUUCGGUCCCUAUCUGCCGUGGGCGCUGGAGAACUGAGGGGGGCUGCUCCUAGUACGAGAGGACCGGAGUGGACGCAUCACUGGUGUUCGGGUUGUCAUGCCAAUGGCACUGCCCGGUAGCUAAAUGCGGAAGAGAUAAGUGCUGAAAGCAUCUAAGCACGAAACUUGCCCCGAGAUGAGUUCUCCCUGACCCUUUAAGGGUCCUGAAGGAACGUUGAAGACGACGACGUUGAUAGGCCGGGUGUGUAAGCGCAGCGAUGCGUUGAGCUAACCGGUACUAAUGAACCGUGAGGCUUAACCUUACAACGCCGAAG
Molecule: ribosomal RNA, 2926 nt
Filed under: Shigella sonnei
Lineage: Bacteria; Pseudomonadati; Pseudomonadota; Gammaproteobacteria; Enterobacterales; Enterobacteriaceae
Description: 23S ribosomal RNA
Rfam family: Bacterial large subunit ribosomal RNA
Source: RNAcentral